CGGCCGAACUCUACGGAGGCAGCAGUGGGAAUAUGGACAAUGGGGCAACCUGAUCCAGCCAUGCCGCGUGUAUGAAGAAGGCCCUCGGGUCGUAAAGCACUUUCAGCGAGGAAGAACGCCUAGUGGUUAAUACCCAUUAGGAAAGACAUCACUCGCAGAAGAAGCACCGGCUAACUCCGUGCCAGCAGCCGCGGUAAUACGGAGGGUGCAAGCGUUAAUCGGAAUUACUGGGCGUAAAGCGCGCGUAGGUGGCUUGAUAAGCCGGUUGUGAAAGCCCCGGGCUCAACCUGGGAACGGCAUCCGGAACUGUCAGGCUAGAGUGCAGGAGAGGAAGGUAGAAUUCCCGGUGUAGCGGUGAAAUGCGUAGAGAUCGGGAGGAAUACCAGUGGCGAAGGCGGCCUUCUGGACUGACACUGACACUGAGGUGCGAAAGCGUGGGUAGCAAACAGGAUUAGAUACCCUGGUAGUCCACGCCGUAAACGAUGUCGACCAGCCGUUGGGUGCCUAGCGCACUUUGUGGCGAAGUUAACGCGAUAAGUCGACCGCCUGGGGAGUACGGCCGCAAGGUUAAAACUCAAAUGAAUUGACGGGGGCCCGCACAAGCGGUGGAGCAUGUGGUUUAAUUCGAUGCAACGCGAAGAACCUUACCUACCCUUGACAUCGACAGAAGCCGAGAGAGAUCUUGGUGUGCCUUCGGGAACUGUCAGACAGGUGCUGCAUGGCUGUCGUCAGCUCGUGUUGUGAAAUGUUGGGUUAAGUCCCGUAACGAGCGCAACCCUUGUCCUUAUUUGCCAGCACGUAAUGGUGGGAACUCUAAGGAGACUGCCGGUGACAAACCGGAGGAAGGUGGGGACGACGUCAAGUCAUCAUGGCCCUUACGGGUAGGGCUACACACGUGCUACAAUGGCCGGUACAAAGGGCAGCGAGCUCGCGAGAGUCAGCGAAUCCCUUAAAGCCGGUCUCAGUCCGGAUCGGAGUCUGCAACUCGACUCCGUGAAGUCGGAAUCGCUAGUAAUCGGAAUCAGAA
RNAcentral lists this ribosomal RNA (1027 nucleotides) under uncultured bacterium. RNAcentral's name for it is "bacterial SSU rRNA". It matches the Rfam family "Bacterial small subunit ribosomal RNA", at positions 328 to 1354 of the family's 1533-position model. The record is from RNAcentral.